AACGCACAUUGCGCCCCUUGGUAUUCCGGGGGGCAUGCCUGUUCGAGCGUCAUUUCACCACUCAAGCCUGGCUUGGUAUUGGGCGUCGCGUGUAUCGCGCGCCUUAAAGUCUCCGGCUGAGCCGUCCGUCUCCGAGCGUUGUGAUACAUAUUCGCUCCGGUGGCCGGGCGGCCGCGGCCGUAAAACUUCUUAAAGGUUGACCUCGGAUCAGGUAGGGAUACCCGCUGAACUUAA
This 234-nucleotide unclassified non-coding RNA is filed under the name Cladophialophora sp. RNAcentral describes it as "partial contains 5.8S ribosomal RNA, internal transcribed spacer 2, and large subunit ribosomal RNA". RNAcentral also lists the same sequence under 1 other name. Lineage: Eukaryota; Fungi; Ascomycota; Eurotiomycetes; Chaetothyriales; Herpotrichiellaceae. The record is from RNAcentral.